UACAGAAGGUGCAAACAUUGUUCGGAAUUACUGGGCGUAAAGCGCGUGCAGGCAACCUUGCAAGUCGGACGUGAAAUCCCACAGCUCAACCGUGGAAGUGCAUUCGAAACUGCGAGGCUGGAGUCCUGGAGAGGAAAGUGGAAUACUCGGUGUAGAGGUGAAAUUCGUAGAUAUCGAGUGGAACACCGGUGGCGAAAGCGGCUUUCUGGACCGACACUGACGCUGAGGCGCGAAAGCUAGGGGAGCAAACGGG
Molecule: ribosomal RNA, 253 nt
Filed under: uncultured bacterium
Lineage: Bacteria
Description: partial 16S ribosomal RNA
Rfam family: Bacterial small subunit ribosomal RNA
Source: RNAcentral